UGGGCCUUGCCGGCUUUGGGCCCAGAGGCUGGAGGCUGGGCUCCCUCUUUCUUCCCUUCCUCCUUUCCUCUUUCCCUCCUUCCUUUCUUCCUUGCUUCUCCCUCCUCCCCUCCCUGCCUCCCUCCUCCCAUCUCUGUCUCCCUCUUCCCCUCCCUGCUUCCCUCCUCCCCACCUUCCCUCCCUCUUCCCCUCCUUCCCUCCCUCUUCCCCUCCUUCCCUCCCUCUUCCCCUCCUUCCCUCCCUCUUCCCCUCCUUCCCUCCCUCCUCAAGCACAACACAUCCACAUCGGCCCCCAGCCCAGCGCAGCUUUAAGAGACCCACUUACCUCAGAGGAACCCAAUCAAUCCCCACAAACACCUCUCUAGAAUAGGAAGAUGGAGAUACAGAGACAGUCCCACUCUAUCGCCAGGGUAGAGUGCAGUGGUGCAAUCAUGGCCCUCUGCAGCCUCCAACUCCUGGGCUCAAGCUAUUGUCCUAUCACAGCCUCUCAAGUAGCUUGGACUGCAGGAAUAAAGCUGAAGACACUGAAAAUCAACAACUUUUCUGGGACCCUUCGGACAACUGCAGUCACAAGGUAAACUACCAUUUUUAAAUAUGGAGACAGAGGAAUACAGAGUACAACUGACAUCAGCUUACCUGGAGCAGGAACCACGGAACUAAAAAGUGGAUGGAUCACCUGAAUGGCUAACUAAUUGGAAGUUCACAGACUGUUCAUAUCCUCUCACAAUAUUCAAACUGGUGAAAUCUUCAUACUGACAAACCAUCAUAAUUGUUUAG
Homo sapiens (human) is the source of this 777-nucleotide long non-coding RNA. RefSeq lists it as uncharacterized. The transcript has 4 exons. The record is from RefSeq and is a predicted model, not a curated record. Lineage: Eukaryota; Metazoa; Chordata; Mammalia; Primates; Hominidae.